This is a long non-coding RNA of Amaranthus tricolor (Joseph's coat), 1241 nucleotides long. RefSeq lists it as uncharacterized. The transcript has 4 exons. Lineage: Eukaryota; Viridiplantae; Streptophyta; Magnoliopsida; Caryophyllales; Amaranthaceae. The record is from RefSeq and is a predicted model, not a curated record.
UCUCCUUCCUUAUUUCCUUUCUUCUUCCUUAUUCGUAUGAACCCAAAGAAAUCAGGCACCAUUCUUUCUUCUUCUUCUUCAGUCGAAUACAUCAAGAAGCGUAAGAAGAUUUUCGAUCCGUGCCAGAAACAAGCUACAGACCAACAUUCUUCUUCUACAUUCUCGCCAUUCUCUCUGAAUUGGCGGAGUUCUCACUUCUUCCUCAAUUCAAUCUAUUGAUUUUUCGAGUGAACCAAGUUCCAUGGAUGCUCUACUCUUCUUAUAGAUUGUUGGUAUAAACAAACUAAGGAUUUUAUUCUAUUGAAAUGGUAAACAACAUAGCAGCAGCCGAGAAACCCCUUCCUUUGAUCUGAAUUCUGCCGAAAUGAGGGGAAGUGAGUGAGAUAUGGUUUUUCUGUUUAAGCAUAAAAUCCAAUUUGAAAAUUAAGCUUUGAAUCGUUUUCUUUCAAUUCUUGCUGCUGCAAACAAAAGGAGGCGACGUCAUCGAGGAACCAUUCUAGCUGUUAGCCGUGAACCGAUCACGGCUCUUUGAAGCGUCUUGUUGUUUGAUUACAGAUCGGAACCGGUCCGGAACGAUGGGUUAGCGAUGUUGGAUAGCAUUUCAAGGAUGGAUAUUGAGCUGAGCCCGUAGGAAUUCAUAGAUUUGUAAUAGGAUUUCGGAUAAAUGUACAUUAGAUUUGGUUGUGUUGGUUAUAUUCGACUUGUAGAGAAUUGUAUGUUCAUCUUGUGUUUUAGUUAGAUGUUUGUUUUGAGAUUUAGCUGAGUUGGUCACGUUAAAGAGCUUGUGACCCCUUUGCUCAAGUUUUGGGAGUAUGAUUUCAGUUUCUUGGGAAAUGAACCCCGUGAUAACCCUGUUUACUCAGUCAACGGUAAGUCGGGUUGUUACACUUCUCCUCUCUGAAAAUGCCAACUAAUUUCCGACCAUUCUAGCGGUCGGAAAAAUACCGACUCUUUUUUUAUUCGGUAAGCAAUCAGAAGUUCAUACCAAGUACAUGUUAGUAGGAAUUUAGUCGGAAAUUCCGACUGUUUGAAUUUAGUCGUUAAUUUGGUCGGAAAAUUUUGACUAUUUAUGGGUAAUCGGAAUAAUCAGUGGGUAAGUUGCGUUUUUUUUUUGUAGUGAAGGUUAAUAUUAAAUGUUUUACUUAUUUUAAAAUGUUUGAUUUUAUGGUUGAAUAAUAUUUAUAUUUUAUCAAACUUCAAACCGGUUUCCUUAAAUAAAAGGAAAAGGAAGGUCCUUAUUA